This 253-nucleotide ribosomal RNA is filed under the name uncultured bacterium. RNAcentral describes it as "partial 16S ribosomal RNA". It matches the Rfam family "Bacterial small subunit ribosomal RNA", at positions 524 to 776 of the family's 1533-position model. The record is from RNAcentral.
UACAGAGGUCUCAAGCGUUGUUCGGAUUCAUUGGGCGUAAAGGGUGCGUAGGUGGCGCGCUAAGUCAGGUGUGAAAUUUCGGAGCUUAACUCCGAAACUGCAUUUGAUACUGGCGUGCUUGAGGACUGGAGAGGAGACUGGAAUUCACGGUGUAGCAGUGAAAUGCGUAGAUAUCGUGAGGAAGACCAGUGGCGAAGGCGGGUCUCUGGACAGUUACUGACGCUGAGGAACGAAGGCCAGGGGAGCAAACGGG